CAGCAGUCGCCACGGGAAUACAGAGGGUGCGAGCGUUAAUCGGAUUUACUGGGCGUAAAGCGUGCGUAGGCGGCUUCUUAAGUCGGAUGUGAAAUCCCUGAGCUUAACUUAGGAAUUGCAUUCGAUACUGGGAAGCUAGAGUAUGGGAGAGGAUGGUAGAAUUCCAGGUGUAGCGGUGAAAUGCGUAGAGAUCUGGAGGAAUACCGAUGGCGAAGGCAGCCAUCUGGCCUAAUACUGACGCUGAGGUACGAAAGCAUGGGGAGCGAACAGGAUUAGAUACCCCUGUAGUCCCUGUCUCUUAUAC
RNAcentral lists this ribosomal RNA (304 nucleotides) under uncultured bacterium. RNAcentral describes it as "partial 16S ribosomal RNA". It matches the Rfam family "Bacterial small subunit ribosomal RNA", at positions 506 to 807 of the family's 1533-position model. The record is from RNAcentral.